ACCUACAUCCACCCGGACGCCGUCCCGUCCACGGGGCCGCGCGCCGUCCUCCGCCCGCCCGGCUCCGCCCCUCCCUCCGGCAAGCGCGGCGCCGCCGGGCCCCCGGCCUCCGACGGCUCCGCGCAGCUCUACCGCCUGCGCCUUUCCCACGCCACGCUCGCCUCCCGCCCGCACUUCGCCGGCUUCCACCUCUCCCUGCUCCUCCCGCUCGCGCUCCUGCCCCCCGCGCUCCUCCUCCCGCCGCCCCGCUCCCCGGCGGCCUCGCUCGCGCCGCUGCUCCCGCUGGCCUUCCUCUUCGUCGCGCUCCUCCGCCAGGUCGCGCUCGCCUCGCCGCCGCGCCCCGCGCACCUCGUCGCCUCCCUCGCCGCGCUGCUCGCCGCCACCGUGCUCUCCUCCAGCCCCUUCGCCGGCUCCGUCGCCUCGCUCGCCGCGCUCCCGGCCUGGCGCUUCGCGCGCGCCUUCUGGCUCGGCACCGACCAGCCCCGCACCGGGCUCGCCGUCCUCGCAUCCUCCGCCCCCGCGCGCCUCCUGCUCCACCUCGCCGUCCUCGUCUCCUCCGCCGCCUCCAUCCUGCAGUGCUGCGGCUUCGUCGACGGCCCCGAGCUGGAGGUCAAGCUGCUGGCGGCCGCGGCGGGGAUGCAGCUGCUCGCCUCCAGGGCCGCCGUGCAGAUGUACCUCAACGAGGCCGUCUUCUGCUGGUACCAACGGCUGCACGCCAACCGCGCGCCCGACACCGAGUACGGCCGCGCCAAGGUGUUCCUGCACAACCACCAUCUCUGCGCGGCGGCCACGCAGUUCGUCGCGCCGCCGCUGCUCGUGCUGUCGCUGCUCGCACUGUGGUGGGUGCAAGGCAAGGACUUCUUUGAGGGUGUGGAGGGGCUCGACUGGCUUGUUGGGUGGUCCGUCGCCAUGAAGGAGGCGGCAUUGCUUGCGGCCCGUUGGGUGGUGGCGGUGUGGUCGGCGGUGACUGUGGGCACGCUUGUCGGCUACAAACGUGGAUGGUUGUUUGUCUUGUGA
RNAcentral lists this ribosomal RNA (1017 nucleotides) under Triticum aestivum (bread wheat). RNAcentral's name for it is "partial small subunit ribosomal RNA". Lineage: Eukaryota; Viridiplantae; Streptophyta; Magnoliopsida; Poales; Poaceae. The record is from RNAcentral.